Molecule: ribosomal RNA, 476 nt
Filed under: uncultured bacterium
Lineage: Bacteria
Description: bacterial SSU rRNA
Rfam family: Bacterial small subunit ribosomal RNA
Source: RNAcentral
GGACGAACGCUGGCGGCGUGCCUAACACAUGCAAGUCGAGCGAGGAGAUUCCUUCGGGAUGAUCCUAGGCGGCGGACGGGUGAGUAACACGUGGGCAACCUGCCUCAUAGAGAGGAAUAGCCUUCCGAAAGGGAGAUUAAUACCUCAUAACAUUGCAGUUUCGCAUGGAACAGCAAUUAAAGGAGCAAUCCGCUAUGAGAUGGGCCCGCGGCGCAUUAGCUAGUUGGUGAGGUAACGGCUCACCAAGGCGACGAUGCGUAGCCGACCUGAGAGGGUGAUCGGCCACAUUGGGACUGAGACACGGCCCAGACUCCUACGGGAGGCAGCAGUGGGGAAUAUUGCACAAUGGGGGAAACCCUGAUGCAAGCAACGCCGCGUGAGUGAUGACGGCCUUCGGGUUGUAAAGCUCUGUCUUCAGGGACGAUAAUGACGGUACCUGAGGAGGAAGCCACGGCUAACUACGUGCCAGCCGCUGC